Long non-coding RNA from Felis catus (domestic cat), 429 nucleotides. RefSeq lists it as uncharacterized. NCBI's taxonomy places the organism in Eukaryota, Metazoa, Chordata, Mammalia, Carnivora, Felidae. The record is from RefSeq and is a predicted model, not a curated record. The transcript has 2 exons.
UCCGCCCCGCCUCCCUCCUAGGUGAAGGAAGAUGAUUUCCCCCCCCCAUCUUGACCGCCCCCUGCCUUCGCUGCCAAGCACGGACUCCGCCGGCCCCAGCCGACCCGGUACCAGUGGUUGGAUCCAAGAGAAUUCCGGAACCCAAACGGCUCGCUCAAAGCACUUUAUUCAAUAUGAAACCGCAGUAUAACUCGGAGACCUUCGGCUGGUCCACUGUCAUUAUCAUACCCUAAGGAGUGUGAGCAGAGUCAGCCCCAUUUCUUUUUUCUGAACUAUUGCUCUUGAUUAAUGAUUGCUGCAGAAAAGGUUUGUCGCCACCACCUCUCGCUUCCUUAUUUUCUUCUCCUUCCCCUUAUUCUUACCACUACUACUAUUAUUAUUGUUCUUAUUAAAUGACCUGACAGAAUAAACAAAUUAACUUCUUGGUAA